AGCAGCCGCGGUAAUUCCAGCUCCGAUAGCGUAUAUUAAAGUUGUUGCAGUUAAAAAGCUCGUAGUUGAAUUUCGAGACCGGUUUAUUGGUCGUGCUUUUGUACGUACUGGUAUUAUUGGUUUCUCCUUUCUGACGAAUCUUAAUGCCAUUAAUUUGGUGUUUUGGGGAAUCAGGACUGUUACUUUGAAAAAUUAGAGUGUUUAAAGCAGGCUCACGCUUGAAUACAUUAGCAUGGAAUAACGGAAUAGGACGUUUGAUUCUAUUUUGUUGGUUUCUAGGAUCGACGUAAUGAUUAAUAGGGAUAGUUGGGGGCAUUAGUAUUCAAUUGUCAGAGGUGAAAUUCUUGGAUUUAUUGAAGACUAACUACUGCGAAAGCAUUUGCCAAGGAUGUUUUCAUUAAUCAAGAACGAAAGUUAGGGGAUCGAAGACGAUCAGAUACCGUCGUAGUCUUAGCCAUAAACUAUGCCGACUAGGGAUCGGAUGAUGUUAAUUUUUAAUGACUCAUUCGGCGCCUUACGG
Molecule: ribosomal RNA, 520 nt
Filed under: uncultured Glomus
Lineage: Eukaryota; Fungi; Glomeromycota; Glomeromycetes; Glomerales; Glomeraceae
Description: SSU rRNA
Rfam family: Eukaryotic small subunit ribosomal RNA
Source: RNAcentral